UGGGGAAUAUUGCACAAUGGGCGAAAGCCUGAUGCAGCAACGCCGCGUGAGUGAUGAAGGUCUUCGGAUUGUAAAGCUCUGUCUUUUGGGACGAUAAUGACGGUACCAAAGGAGGAAGCCACGGCUAACUACGUGCCAGCAGCCGCGGUAAUACGUAGGUGGCGAGCGUUGUCCGGAUUUACUGGGCGUAAAGGGUGCGUAGGCGGAUGUUUAAGUGAGAUGUGAAAUACCCGGGCUUAACUUGGGUGCUGCAUUUCAAACUGGAUAUCUAGAGUGCAGGAGAGGAGAAUGGAAUUCCUAGUGUAGCGGUGAAAUGCGUAGAGAUUAGGAAGAACACCAGUGGCGAAGGCGAUUCUCUGGACUGUAACUGACGCUGAGGCACGAAAGCGUGGGUAGCAAACAGGAUUAGAUACCCUGGUAGUCCACGCCGUAAACGAUGAGUAGCUAGG
Molecule: ribosomal RNA, 449 nt
Filed under: uncultured bacterium
Lineage: Bacteria
Description: partial 16S ribosomal RNA
Rfam family: Bacterial small subunit ribosomal RNA
Source: RNAcentral